This 225-nucleotide long non-coding RNA is filed under the name Panax ginseng (ginseng). RNAcentral's name for it is "long non-coding RNA (PGIN_LNC005145)". Lineage: Eukaryota; Viridiplantae; Streptophyta; Magnoliopsida; Apiales; Araliaceae. The record is from RNAcentral.
UUUGGGUGAGCCUGUGGUGGGCUAAGUUGACCCAAGAAGAUACUAUUGGGCCAGUAAUCUGAGGCCUUAUUUUGAUGAAUUUGAUUUGAUUCAGACUUGGGAUUUGACCCAAUAUUUGUUUCGAACUCGAGAUUUGACCCGGGUUGUUACAUAUGGUAUCAAAGCUGACUCUCGAAAGCUCGGGUCGGGUCAUCCGAUCGAGUUGCCGGAGGUGGGGACACGAAG